CCCGGUGCGGGGCUGUGCCCGCCGCCCCGCGGGGCCCGUCCGGCCGCGGGGCUGUCCCUGCGAGCCCUGCGCUCUCUCGGCGCCGCGCUGCCAUCCCCGGCCCGCGGGCGGGGGGCCGUGUUAUCCGAGUGCUCGGGGUCGCCCAUGUGGCGCAGGGUGGGUGUCUCGCCAUAGCUGCCACAUCUUCAAAGUCAGCUGUCACAUCUGCAAAGUCAGGCUUUUCUGGCGUCCAGAAGUUUCAGGUGCGCAGCUGUUCGCAGGUGUCACUGCUUAUUCCGUAGUGUGGAGGUGAAGUUCUUUGGCCGCUGACCCUGCGUGCCCCAAACUUUAAAAGUUUGUAGUUUUCUUGCUGGGAAUGUACCUGUCUGAAGACGCUCCCCUAAAGACAACACACGUUGUGCAUGCAAGGUUACCUAGGAAUGCAGAACGUGCUGAAAGUGUAUAAAAGGUUUAGCUUGACAGAUUAAAUUAAAAGGCAACGAAUCUUAAAGCAGAUACGGUCUGAAGUUGUGGACCGUGUUUCUGCUGUGUGAGGCAGUGCAGGCUGAGCUGCCUGACACAGAAGCUGCAUUCUCAACAGAUCCAUGCCCACGCUAGAACCCAGAGUGAGUUAAAAUACUGUUUUUUGUAUUUGUUAUUGCAUGCUGUAUUAACUGUACACUCUGUGUGUGUGUGUGUAGAUGUAAACCCCCCAAAAUAUACAAACUCUAUCUGGCUGAUGUUUUUUGAUUUCUGACAACAGUAGGGAAGGAAAGUGUCUGAAGUGGUUAAUGGGGAUGCUUGUAAAAAAUCCUCACAGCUGUGGACAGAGCUUUAAGAGAAAACAUCGAGGUGCUUAUUUUAAAAGUCUAAAAUGCCUGUGGGGAGUUACAAGAGGGGAGAUCAUAAGAUGGUUUGUGUUUGAACUGACCUUUACAGUUAAUCUAGUUCAACCCCCCUGCCAUGGGCAGGGACACUUUUCACCAGACCAGGCUGCUCAAAGCCCUAUCCAGCCUGUCUUUGAACACUUCCAGAGAUGGGGCAUCCACAGCAUCUGAGCAACCUGUUCUAGUGCCUCAUGUUCUUUAUUAUUAAAAAAUAAAUCUUCCUAAUAUACAGUAUAAAUCCAUUCCCUGUUUAAAGCCAUUGGUCCUUAUCCUGUAACUACAGGUCUUGUUAAAAAAAUGACACAACACUUGUUAAAAACCUUUAAAAGUACAUUACAUGUUCAGCUAGUUGAUUUUGCCACUAAAACUUCUGUGUGCAAAACUUUUGGUAGAAAACAGUUUUCUGCUGCUGCUUGUUUUGUAAUUCUUAACAGAUUUUGAAAAAUGCAUAACAAGUUCCAGAUGGCUUUUCUUUGGUAUCAUCCGUAUCUUAAGGAGGGAUUGUGGAAGCAGAAGGCUUCGGUUACUAUCUCUUGAAUUCUGAAGAUAAAAGCAAAGGAUUGGAAUGUGUUUGUGUUUCUAAAAGGAAAAAAGAAAAUCCAGGGUUUUUUUGCUAGUAAGCAUUUAAACGCAUUCUACAGUAGAACAAGAUGAAGGAAAGCAUCCUAUCAACCACAGCUUCACUUCAGUUUCUCUUGUAGCCCAACAGAUUGUCUUGUUUGUGCAAAGGAUACACUUGUCUGGUAAACUGGGAGGAAAAGAAAGCUUCCUCCUCCUCUGAGCUUUGUGUGAAGUCGCUGCUGCAGGUGCCUGUUUGCUGCUCACUCAGUAAACACUGGAAGAAAGGGUUCAUGUGCUUGUGUUAUGCAGUCAUCUGUUAAAAUUGCCACUGAUGCCAUGCUGGAAUAAUGUAAGAAAUGUUCAUAGACUGCUUGAGCUGACCAUUGAUCUGCCAUGAAGGAAAAUGCAGCUACUUUUUAUUGUCACUAUUGGAAGAGAAUAACAGGUGUUGGCUCACGUGCUUUAAGUAAAUACACCUGGUGUUACAGAGGGAGCUGGUUAAAGAUGCUUCAUAUGGAGUUGUUCUGUCUUUAUUCUUUAGGAAAAUUCAGGUUGGAGUGCUUUUUCAUAUUUUAAUGAGGAGGACUUAAAGAAGCAUAAGAAUUUAAAAAUCUUGAGAAGAGUAAUGCUGCUAAUGAGACACAAAUCCUCUGUGGAGCCUGAGCCUAGUGGUGUCUAAGUGGCUCUGAAAACUGCUGUUCUAACUGUGCAAGUACUGGGAAUAGGAAGUGUUUGCACCACAUUUAAUUUGAUAUCUUGCUGUGUUGAAGAUGUUUUGGGCUGCUGUUGGCUGGACCGGGAAACAGCUGUAACAGUUAACUUUCUUAUAAAGCUGUCUAAAAUAAAGGCAUGCACAUGAAGGAAAAUAUCCAUCUUACUCGCAGUAUGUGACAAAGCUUUGCAGACAUGAUGGAAUUUUAGCAUUCAGAAAUUAAUUAAUGGAUGCUUAGCCGAACAGAGCAGAAAGUAGAGCAAGAGAGAUAAAAUUUCCUAGAAUCUUUAUAAAUUGAAGAAUUUAAUUACAAUUUUGAGCAAUGUGUGUUUCUGUUCCUCUAGUACAUUCACAACUCGAACUGCGUUUUAAGACGUUUUAUAGGCUUGAUGACAUCAAUUCAGUAGCAUAGCCAAGUACGACUGCUGCUAGAUGAACUGUGGGGGUGUUAAGAUGAAUCUGAAAAAUUAGUACUUUGUUGAUGUGAAGAUAUUUUUAGUUCCCAGGUGUGUUUAUCUCCUAUUACCUAAAUGAAAUGAAUAAGGAAAAAAGCCAACAAACCCAAACUUGACCUUGAGAGUUCCCAGGCAAUGAUAUCUCCAUUUAUGAUAGUUUGUUCUUAUUCAGGGGAAGAAAAAAAUUGAUCCCCUGACCUGAGGGUUUCCUCAGAGCUACAAGGUAUCACUUUGCUGCUUCUUUUUGCAGUGGAAGUGAUGGCUUAAGCAUGUCAGAGAAAUUCCUUUCCAAAAUCCUGCCUUCUUACAUUGACAGCAGCCUAAAAAGUGCUCUUCAGCCCAGUUCCUUUAAACAACAUCUUUGGACUUGUACACUUUGCUUUAUCUGGAUCAGCUGAUUUAGUUCAGAAAUACAGAAGGCCAGGCUUUUUAUUUCAGAGUUGUCAACAAGGUUACAAAGAAAAAAAUACAUUACUAAAUGAAAUUCUAGAUUGCAUUUAGCAUUAGGGUUGUUGUUAGCUGCUUCUGUAUCAGUCUUAUUGAAUAAGUUAUAUUCCUAUUGAAUACUCUUAUUACAAGGUCUUUUUCAUUGCCUCUUUAAUCAGAUUCUCCCUUCCCAGAUUGUAGUAUUUAUAUUUAGUAUUUCUUUCUUUCAGUUUUCCUGCAAAGGUUCAUUAAAAUAGGCACUCUACAUGAAUGGGGUUGUAUCUGUAGCAGUUAAUACAUCUCAGAUAUGGGGAAGAGUAAAUGACAUGCUCUCAGCAUACCUGACAGAGUGCUGUCAGAGUACUUCAUCCAAAUGAUCUUUUCUCCUGAGUUUUUUGCUGCCUUAACACCUCCUUUAUAGCGUAGCCUUCAUUCUUUCUUGCUGUAAUUUAAGACAUUGCUUGCAUUUGAGGAAAAAGUAUGGAAUACUAUGUUGUGUAUGUAAUCUGUUUAAUUUGUCUCCUAUGGCCUUUGGUUUAUUCCCCCUCUGAUAUUUCAAAUUUUGGUUUUGGGGUUAAGUUAUAACUGUAAGCCAUGGGAUUUUGCACUGUUACUUUAAAAAAACAAUCUUUGUAGUACCUGGAUUAUUUUUAAUUUAGUAAUUUAGUAAUUUUUCACUUUGUCGAAACAAUUGUGACUUCCUUAAGGAAGAAAAAAUGCCCAAGUGGUUAUUUUUGUGAUUAGAAUACUAACUUAGUUGUACUUUUGGGGUUUUUUUCCCCCACUUAAGGAUGCCUGAAGUGAGAAGAGAGAACAAAUCUAAAACUAGUCUCAAGAGAGGCUUCCUUGUAUUGUUGGUAAAAUAACCUUAUGUAUUUGUCAGUCCUCACAUAGGAGGAGCUUUGGGAAUAAAUGCUCUAUGAUUCCUGAGUAGCAAGAAGAUUCUAAAGCUGUUUCUAAAAUUCCUUAGCCUGAAGAAAAAAGAAACUGCUUCUAUUUCUUUUGUAAUUAUGUAAUCCUGUGGUAUCAGAAUUGCAGUAAACAUGCAUAGAAGAAAACCUGCAACUCUCACCGUUAAGCAAUAAUUUCUUGCACUGUUAUCUAGUAAUGUUUUAUAUUCAUGAAGCAUGGAUGGGACUUCAUUGUGUGUGUCCAAGCACAUACUCCAAUAACCUCCUGCUGGGAAUUGGAAUGUAAAUAUAAGGGCAGGAAGGAAAGGCUUCAGCUGCCUGCCUCAGGUCAUAGUGCUGCCCUGGAAGGGAGGGCACUGGCAGUUCUCUCUGCUCAGGUGCCUAUUCUGUAAUUUGAGAAGUGAGUAAAAACAUCUUUCAUAUUGAAUUUGAGCUGUUAAAUGCCAGUUAGACCUCAGUGGUCUUGAUCUCUUGUGAUUUUUUUCUCUCCUCUGUUCUUGUCUUUUAAACAAAACAUUCUUGUAGGUAAAAAUUGUUCUUGUAGGUAUUAUGUUUGAUGAUAAAUGUGCUUAAAUUAACUUUCUUAUGUAUUAACACCAGUGUUGCACAUGUGCAGCAUUUAAACCAGCCCUUAAGUUUCAAAUGUGCUGAUGCUAUGUGCUUCAAAUUAAAGAAUUAAGUCAUUCAUGUAAAUCCAGUAGAUGAGCUUUUAUUUUUGCAAUCUCCAUAGUAAAGCAAAAUCUGGAAUAUUGCUGCUGCUUUAUCCAAGUAAGGAGAACUGUUUAUAAGACAUCUACUACUAGUCAGAGAUAGAGUUGAAUGGAAAUAGAGGUUUGUGCAGGAAAGUUUGUUUUAUUUUUUACAUUUUUUUUUUUCCUGAAGAGGGUCUGGAAAAAAUCAUGGUGUUGCAGCUGUUUUGGGCUUGCUUAGGUAUUGUUUACUAGAUAAUGUGUUAUGUUCCACCGUUGCUAGUUCUGAUCUGUAAUGUUACUAAAGGAAAUGGUGGGGGAUGAUUUCUUAAAAUUGUUGUAACAGAACUUGGACCCUGUGGACUUGCACUCUGACUUGACCAACCUUAUCAAGUGCUGGUGAGUGGGAAAGGCUCUGCAAGCUGGUAACCUCCAUGGAGUACUUUAUAAUUCUUUUGCACAGGUGAAUAACUGGUGCUUUGAGUUACUUUGUGACCAUGUCUCCUCUAUCCAUUGUUCCAGGGAUUGUUGUCUGUUGUUUAAUGCCUCGCUUCGUUAUUCAUCACGUGGGUGAAAUAUCAGAAUAAUAAGAAUGAUGUGAAUAAGAAAACAAUUUUAAUUUCAUUUCUUCUUAAAAUAAGAAGCAAUGUGUAGAGGGAAGGCAAGAUGGAUGCAGGUCUUGAGAAAUACAUAUAAUGGCACAUUCUGGGAUGAUCUAUCCAAUGAGAAGGAUGCAUAUGAGGGAGCAGGCUUGUAAAUGCUUGUAAGCUGGAGAGGGUGCUGGCUUUGCAGAGCAGGCCACACACUGUUCCAAAAGAUCUCUGCAGUUUCGUCAAUGGAGUGGUGACUCACCAUUUUCCCAUCUUUUUUCAUUAUCUACUGUCAUCCCAUCAUGACGACAACUACCACAAAAUUGUGGCUAUUCACAGAGGCAGCAAGAAUCCUCACAGCUGCAGUUUUAUGUUGUGGAUGUUCAGUCUCAGAAUUGAAGUGGAUGAGGUUUCUGGGGAAGGUUGAUCUGCUCUGUGCUGCAGGGAAGACAUUGGCCCCAGCUGUGUUUCUUAGAUAUGGUUCUGUUUCUCUCUGGACCAUGGGACAUGGACAGACUUCUUUCCUCCAUGAAUUUUAUAGGAAGGAGAUUUUUUAAAGAUCUUUUUAGAUAACAAAAUGUGAGCAGAAGUAGAGUUUCAUUAGCUAUCUUAAUCUAAACAUUGAAGUUAGCUACUGUUUUCUCCUUGUGGUUACUGUAUUCAACAGUAUCAGCCAUAAUUUUCCUUUAUAUGUUUGUACACUGCAAAAACUUUCAACCUCAAAUACAAGAUGAGACUGUCACCCUUGGAAACUUGUUGUUUAUAUAGUGGUGUCUGAAAUAGCAGUGCAGUUAUAUUUGCAUUGAUGAUAAUGCAGUAGAACUGCUUGGCUUGCCCAUUUUGCAGAUGGUACAGACCUUUCCAUUUCACAGAGGUAAAAUGAAGUGGGUAUUUUGUCUUCUACAUCCUCCUAAAAUACCUUCUUGACAGCAUUGGGGAAAAGUCUGUCUUAAAUGAAAAAGUUUUUUUCAAAGGUUUUUGUCUUCAUUACCCAUACAGAAGAUUUAAAAUCUAACUAAACAGGGAGACUGCAGAUUUCUGUUUUGUUGUUCAGCCUUUCCUUGCUUGGUGGUAACAGAACUACGAGUUUUUAGACCAAAUAAAAUUGUUCUUAAUCCAAACCUUCUUGUCUGUACUGUUUGGCCAUCCAAGAUGGCAGAAUCUUACUUGCUUAGAACUAAUUUAAGCUCAUUUGAGACAAUGUGCUUAAAAAACUUUUUCAGGUCCAAUUUGCCAUGACAGCAGUUAAUGCAAAAACUUGAAAGAUAUCCUUGGAAAACUCUUGGAGUUGAUGUUACUGCUUCAGAUUACACUCUAGUGCAUGCUUGGAUGGAAGUCAGUCCUUGGCUUUUCUGCUGAACUACAAUGAUGUUGAUUUUAUUGAGGGUCCCAGGGGUGGUAGUGUCUAAGAAUUGUACAUCUGCUACUACUAAAUGCCUGUGGCUUUUCAAUUUAUUUCAAGUUCUGUAUUUUUAGGUGAAAAAAAAGAACUUCCACUUACAACUGAACAUUGUUCAUGUUGUUCACAAAAGAACUUUCACUCUUACAACUAAAGAAGUAGGCCUGUCUCUGUUAAUCUCUGUUUUCUGAGGUGCUUGAGGUAUUUUGGGAGCUUUUGCUUACUCUGAGGUUUCUGAAUUACAUGAUUGAAACUGAUCAGUGUCUCAUUAAUUUUCCUCUGUUGUCAUGCAAAGAUGUGAAUGAACAAGACCCUUGUGUUCAUUUUCUCAUCAGAGGCCAAACCUUCAGCUUUUGCUUUGCUGCUGGGCUCAGCUGUUUUGUGGUCACAGAUGAAUUUGCCUGUACCAUUGUUCCCUUUUGUAUCUUGGGUACAUCUCCUGUUAAUACUUGUCCAUAGUGUCUGAAAUGGAAGUAAAUAAAAUACAGAAAAAUAAGACACUUAAGGGUUCUUUCAGCAAAACUCCUUUAGUAUCUGUCAUAAAAAAAGUUGUAAGGCAUUAGUGGGGAAAGGAAAAUGAUUAUUUUAUCGCCUAUGCUGUAUU
This is a long non-coding RNA of Passer domesticus (house sparrow), 7213 nucleotides long. RefSeq lists it as uncharacterized. The transcript has 3 exons. The record is from RefSeq and is a predicted model, not a curated record. Lineage: Eukaryota; Metazoa; Chordata; Aves; Passeriformes; Passeridae.